This 672-nucleotide long non-coding RNA is filed under the name Phaseolus vulgaris (common bean). RNAcentral's name for it is "long non-coding RNA (PVUL_LNC002169)". Lineage: Eukaryota; Viridiplantae; Streptophyta; Magnoliopsida; Fabales; Fabaceae. The record is from RNAcentral.
AAAUACCAAGUUAUAUUAUGAGUACCGACUUGUGGUGAGGUGUUUUCCUCUAUGUUUUCAAAAGGUUAGUAAUUUCUUCUUUUGAGUCUUCUUCUUCUUCUUCUUUUUCUUCUUCUUCUUCUUUCAAGAGGCUUUGAUUGUGAUGGGGAACAACCCAAAACGGUUCAUCGGCCCAAGUUGGGUCACUGACCUUGCUACUCAGCUGCCUUGUUAGGCUGGUAAUGACUUGAUGGAUCCUCGUGUAAUCAAGCAUAUCACACAGUACCGAGGCUCAUCCUCGGUUGAUGCCUUUGUGUCGGAGUGCCUAUGUUAAACCUGGAAUCACCUUUAGUUGUUGUUACAACCCACUGUUGUAGCGUCUUUGAAAACGUUUGUCACGAUCGAGUCAAAAGUUCAUUUAUAUUUAUUCGUAUGUUUUUACCGACCUCCACGUAAGUUCACCUUUUGAAAAAUUUGCAAUUGGAGUUUUUAGGGUUCUCAAUGUGGCUCUGACACCCAACUUCAUUCCAAUUCAUGGGUUGUCUUACAAGUCUUUUGGCUUAUUUGUGAUUUAUUUAUAUUGAAGUUGUCCCCUCAUUCUUUUCUCUUUUAUUACAAUUCUUGUCCGACCAAUCUCGUGGGCUGGCUUUCUUUGUCUAAUCGAUCAUGCAGUAUCCUUUUUGCCCUUUUUAC